Molecule: long non-coding RNA, 220 nt
Filed under: Parus major (Great Tit)
Lineage: Eukaryota; Metazoa; Chordata; Aves; Passeriformes; Paridae
Description: lncRNA (ENSPMJG00000001080.1)
Source: RNAcentral
GCUGCCUGCUAUACUCUUCAUGCCAACUUGAAUUUUGAGCUUCCUUCCUCUGUGAUUGUCUGCAUUUCCAAGAGGUCUGUAAGUUGUCCACACCUAGUGAUCGCCACCUGAAGAUCAGGCAUGAAGGCUCCAGACUGCAGAGAUGGCUCAAAGAUGGUUUCUUCCCUAAAAAAUAUCACCAGAUGUACUCCAAACAGCUGAAUCCUGCACACCUCACGUA